This 240-nucleotide ribosomal RNA is filed under the name uncultured Staphylococcus sp. RNAcentral describes it as "partial 16S ribosomal RNA". It matches the Rfam family "Bacterial small subunit ribosomal RNA", at positions 122 to 355 of the family's 1533-position model. The record is from RNAcentral. Lineage: Bacteria; Bacillati; Bacillota; Bacilli; Caryophanales; Staphylococcaceae.
UAACCUACCUAUAAGACGUGGACAACUACGGGAAACCGGAGCUAAUACCGGAUAAGAUAUCGAACCGCAUGGUUCGAUAGUGAGAGAUGGUUUUGCUAUCACUUAUAGAUGGACCCGCGCCGUAUUAGCUAGUUGGUGAGGUAACGGCUCACCAAGGCAACGAUACGUAGCCGACCUGAGAGGGUGAUCGGCCACACUGGAACUGAGACACGGUCCAGACUCCUACGGGAGGCAGCAGUC